RNAcentral lists this ribosomal RNA (80 nucleotides) under Bacillota bacterium. The record is from RNAcentral. Lineage: Bacteria; Bacillati; Bacillota.
UCCCGAACCCAGUAGUUAAGCCCUCCAGCGGCGAUGGUACUGCCGGGGUAACCCGGUGGGAGAGUAGCUCGUUGCCAGGA